GUUGAGCGAAGCUUUUUGGUAGUUUACUACUAGAAAUGACUGAGCGGCGAACGGGUGAGUAACGCGUGAGCAAUCUACCUUAGUUACUGGGAUAGCCCGAGGAAACUCGGAUUAAUACCGGAUAUUCUUAUUUUUUCACAUGAAGUUUUAAGGAAAGGUCAGCCGAACUAAGAUGAGCUCGCGUUCUAUCAGCUAGUUGGUGGGGUAAGAGCCUACCAAGGCUACGACGGAUAGCUGGUCUGAGAGGACGAUCAGCCACACUGGGACUGAGACACGGCCCAGACUCCUACGGGAGGCUGCAGCAGGGAAUAUUGUGCAAUGAGCGAAAGCUUGACACAGCGACACCGCGUGUGGGAUGACGGUUCUAGGAUUGUAAACCACUUUCAGGAGGGAAGAAAAUGACGGUACCUCCACAAGAAGACCCGGCCAACUAUGUGCCAGCAGCCGCGGUAAUACAUAGGGGUCAAGCGUUGUCCGGAUUUAUUGGGCGUAAAGAGCUCGUAGGCGGUUCAACAAGUCGGUCGUAAAAGUUUAGGGCUCAACCCUAAAAUGUCGAUCGAUACUGUUGUGACUAGGAUACGGUAGAGGUGAAUGGAAUUCCGAGUGUAGCGGUGAAAUGCGUAGAUAUUCGGAGGAACACCAAUUGCGAAGGCAGUUCACUGGACCGUGAUCGACGCUGAGAGCGAAAGCUAGGGGAGCAAACAGGAUUAGAUACCCUGGUAGUCCUAGCUGUAAACGAUGGAUACUAGAUGUAGAACUGGAUUGACGGUUUCUGUAUCGUAGCUAACGCGUUAAGUAUCCCGCCUGGGGAGUA
Molecule: ribosomal RNA, 814 nt
Filed under: uncultured marine bacterium
Lineage: Bacteria
Description: bacterial SSU rRNA
Rfam family: Bacterial small subunit ribosomal RNA
Source: RNAcentral